Molecule: unclassified non-coding RNA, 362 nt
Filed under: soil metagenome
Description: partial contains 5.8S ribosomal RNA, internal transcribed spacer 2, and large subunit ribosomal RNA
Rfam family: 5.8S ribosomal RNA (bases 1-120)
Source: RNAcentral
GAUGAAGAACGUAGCGAAAUGCGAUAAGUAAUGUAAAUUGCAGAAUUCAGUGAAUCAUCGAAUCUUUGAACGCACCUUGCGCUCCUUGGUAUUCCGAGGAGCAUGCCUGUUUGAGUGUCAUUAAUAUAUCAACCUUCUCUUUUUUGAGUUGUUUGGAUGUGGGGGUUUGCUGGCCUCUUAAAUGAUUCAGCUCCCCUGAAAUGCAUUAGCAGAACAACCUGUUCAUUAGCGUGAUAAUUAUCUAUGCUAUUGAAUGUGAGGGCAGUUCAGCUUUCUAACCGUCCUUGGACAAUUCAUCAUUAAUGUGACCUCAAAUCAGGUAGGACUACCCGCUGAACUUAAGCAUAUCAAUAAGCGGAGGA